AAUUUAUCCCUCAUACAUUGCUGGUGGGAGCUUACAAUGAUGCAGCUGCUUUGGAAAACAUUCUAGAAAUUCCUCAAAUAGUUAAACACAGAGUUACCAUAUGAUCCCAGAAAUUGCAGUCCUAGGUAUAUACCUAAGAAAAAUGAAAAUAUAUGUGCAAAGUUAGUACACAAAUGUUCAUAGCAACAUUAUUCAUAGUAGCCAAAGAGUGGAAACAACCCAAGUGCCCAUAUUAUUCAGUCAUAAAAAGUGAUAAAAGUAAUGAAGUGACAACAUAUGCUACGUGGAUGAACCUUGAAAACAUCAUACUAUGUUAAAGAAGCCAGUAACAAAGGGGCACAUAUUGUAUGUGACUGUUUCUGUGAAAUAGCCGUAAUAAGCAAAUUUGUAGAGAUAGGAAGCAUAUUAAUGUUGCUUAGGGCUGAUGGGAGGGGAUAAAGAAUGAACACUAAUUUUCUCUUUGUGGCAACAAAAAUACUUUCAAGUUAGAUUGUGGUGAGUUAUACAAUCUCAUGAAUAUACUAAAAGACAUUAAAUUGUACAUUUUGAAUAGGUGAAUGCAUGGUGUGUGAAUUAUAUCUCAAUACAACUGUUAAAAAUUAGUUCCGCAUAUUUAUGUGAGUUUAUUUCUGGAUUCUCUUUCGUUCCAUUGACCUGUGUGUAUAUCCCUUUGUCUAUGCUAGAUGAUCUUGAUUACAUGUCCAUUUUUACACUGUCUUGUACCAAUAGAGUAAGCAUUGAUAUUGGGGAGUUUCUCCCAUUUUAUUCUUUGUCAAAAUUAUUUCAGCUAUUUUAGAGCCUAUGCUUUUCCAUGUAAAUUUUAGAAAGAGCUUAUCUAUGUCUACAAAAGACCUCACUUUUAUUUCCUUCUACUUGGCUUGGAUUUAUUUUUACUCUUCUAGUUUCUUGAUGUAGGAACUCAGAAUAGUGACUUGAGACCUUUUAUUUAUUUAUUUAUUUAUUUAUUUAUUUAUUUAUUUUGAGAGAGAGAAUGCACAAGUGAGCGAGGGGUCAGAGAGACAGAGAGAGAAUCCCAUGAGGGGCAGAGAGAGAGAGAGAGAGAGAGAGAGAGAGAGAGGCAGGGCUCACCUGGGUUUGUGUUUUAUCCUAAGCGGGACCUGAGCUCACCUGAAGCAGGGUUCAAGCUCACCUGAUGUGGGACUCAAACUUACCAACCAUGAGAUCAUGACCUAAGCUGGAGUUAGAUGCUUAAUGACUAAGCCACCCUGGUGCCCAAGACCUUUUCUUAUUUUUUUUUUUAAUUUUUUACAUUUAUUUAUUUUUUGAGAGACAUAGAGAGACAGAGCACAAGUUGGGCAGGGACAGAGAGAGAAGGAGACACAGAACAGAAGCAGGCUCCAGGCUCCAAGCUGUCAGCACAGAGCCCGACGCGGGGCUCGAACUCACAAACCGUGAGAUCAUGACCUGAGCCGAAGUCGGACGCUUAACCGACUGAGCCACCCAGGCGCCCCAACCUUUUCUUAUUUCUAAUGUAAGCAUUUAGUGCUAUAAAGUUCCCUCUUGAUACUGCCUUGACUGCACCAAACAUAUUUUGUUAGGUUAUUGUAAAGACAACUUAUAUUCUUCCUCCUGUGUUUCUCCUUUACUGCUCAAACAGAACAUCUCAGUAUGCUUCUGACAGCAGAUUAUGUGAGGGACCUUUCUUCCCCCACAUCAAGCAAUUCUGCAACACCAGAUGGGUGUCCUACAAUUUAACUCCAUUCUGACACCAUCUACCUAAAGAUAGUAUCAGAUCCCAGAUUCAAGGCUCAGUCCCCUAAGACUACCCCUCCCCCGCCAUGCCAAUCACAAGUCCCGGUUGUUACUCGUGCUUCUGACCAAUGAGCUAUAAAUUAGAGGUUCCCAUGACCCCCUCUGCAAAUCUGCUUAAUCUGCUAGAAUGGCUGACAAAAGUCAGGAGAAGUUUACUUCCCAUUCCCUUUUAUUAUAAAAAGAUACGACGAAGGAUACAGAUAAACGUCCAGAUGAAGGGAUGCUAAGGGCACAGUAUACAGAAAAGGCCCUCUUACUGGUUCAUAGACAGACAUCUCACUGUGCCCUCACAUGGUAGAAGAGACAAGGAAACUUUCUGGGGCCUCUGUUAUAAGGGCACUAAUCCCACUCAUGAGGGCUCCACCUUCAUGACUUUAUCAUCUCCCAAAGGUCCCUCCUAAUACAAUCACACUGGGGAUUAUCUUUUAACACGUGAAUUUUAAGGGACAUAAACAUUCAAUCUAUACUACUGAGCAAAUAAAUUCUGUUCACCAGGAGAGAAAAACUAUAUGGAAAAUAGACUCAGUGGGCUUUGGUAUCUGAUUAGGUGGGGAGAGGUCAAGGAUAACACUUACAUUUCUAGUAUGAAAAAGUCGUGCUUCCAGGUGGUUUAGCUGCGCAACUUCAUCAUAAGUCUGGUUAAAAAUACACACAGUUCAGGGCACCUGGGUGGCUCAGUCGGUUAAACAUCUGACUCUUGGUUUUGGCUCAGGUCAUGAUCUCAUGGUUCAUGAGAUCAAGCUCCAAGUUGGGCUUGAGCUGACAGUGUGGAGCCUUCUUGAGAUUCUCUCUUUCCUCUCUCUGCCCCUCCCCCCUCAAAAUAAAUAAAGAUUAAAAAAAUACACAGUUCUCUGAAAUAAGGUCACACAAUCCUAGAGUGAAUAGACUUAGACACAAAGAUAAUAACAAAACCUAUGAAGACAGUAGCCAAAGAUGAAUAGAGAUCUAGGUAAAAUAAUUGAAAAUUUGAAAAAAACUAAAACACCCCUUAAAUAAUUAGAGGGUUCAAGUAUAUAUUAUCUAUAAAACUUUCUUUACAAAUAUGUAUUUGAAAUAUUAAAAUACCAAAAUACUGAAAAUAUAUUUGAGUUUUCUUCUGGUUAGUAGGCAAUCUUAAAACCAGAAAAACAGUAUAGAGAAAUGUCAGUAGUAACAGCAGAACACAGGGUUAAUCCUGGACAAUUGCCAUUAAUGAAAAAUAAAAACAACAAACACACUCACAGUUUUGUUUCCUUCAUUGUAUAGUUUGUAUGUCAGAGUUACGGGUGGUGCCUAAAGUCAUGGUCAUGCAAGGAGUAAGAAGCUAAGAUAGGGUUAGAAUCCACAUUGUUGUUCUUUGCCUGCAAGAGGCUUGGCCAUAUGGGACAGGGCCUCCCCAUAGUUGAUCCCAUUCAUGUGAUAACUGGUGGUCCCUUUGUGAAGAGAAGGAAUGUGGCAAAGGCAUCAAUCUAGCUGGGUUUAGAGGAGAGGGGAGCUGGAGUUUUUCAGCAUGUGCUUUGGUUCAAGAGACUUUACAGGGAGAGUGACAAUCUCUCGGGAAGUGGUUGGCAUGGCAACUGUGGAUUUGAUAGAAUGGGGAGGCAUCAAGACGUUCAUGUAGGGGCACCUGUGUGGCUCAGUCAAUUGAACAUCUGACUCUUGAUUUCAACUCAGGUCAUGAUCCCAGGGUUGUGGGAUUGAGCGCUACAUUGGGCUCCAUGCUAGGUGUGGAGCCUGCUUGAGAUUCUCUCUCUCUCUCUCUCUCUCUCUCUCUCUCUCCUCUCUCUCUUCCCCUCUUCCCAGCUCUCUCUGAAAAAAAAAUUAUAUAUAUAUAUAUAUAUAGAGAGAGAGAGAGAGAGACAGACAGACAGACAGACAUUCAUGUGCUCUUAAGAUGAAAAAAUUGUGGUAUCAAACCUCCAAGAUGGUCCUCAAAGAUCCUUGCCUCCUAGAAUUCACACCAGUGUGUAGUCUCCAUCCACACUGACUCAGUCUGGUCUAUGCGACCAACAGAGUAUGGCGGCAUGUGACUUCUGUGACAGCCUGUAAGAGGCUUGGCCAUAAAAGACAUUGUAGCUUCUGGAUCACUUAUUCUAGGGGAAACCAGCCACCAUGUCAAAAAGACAAUCAGCCAGGGGCACCUGGGUGGCUCAGUUGCUUGAGUGUCUGACUCUUGGUUUUGGCUCAGGACAUGAUCCCAGGGUCAUGAGAUCGAGCCCUGCGUCAGGCUCCAUGUUGAGUAUACAGCUUGCUUGAGAUACUCUCUCUCUCUCUCUCCCUCUGCCCCCUCCCCUGCUUGGGCUCUCUCUCUCUCAAACAAACAAACUAAAUAACAAACAAUCAGCCAUAUGGAGAGGCCUACAUGGAAUGGAACGGGGCCUAUUGUCAAAAGCCAGCGCCAAUUUGCCAGCCAUGUGAAUGGAGCACCUGGAAGCAGAGAUUCUGGCCCCAUUUAAGCCUUCAAAUGACAUCUUGCUUACACGCAGCUAAACUGCUCCUGAAACCCUGACUCACAGACACUGUGAGAGAUGAUCCCAGCCCUGUUUCCAUGAGGGCUUGUGACCUCUGCGGUAUCAUGAAGCAAAUGUCUGUCUCCGAAUAUGCAUUCUCCAAGGUUUCACCGUAUUGGCUCAUCCACAAUUCAGAGGGCGGAGGUAGCAUGGCCUCGCCCACAGGUACGUAGGUCUUGUUUGGUGGAAAUACCAACUCCACUCCUCUUCCACACUUUGCCCCCACGAAUUCCAGUCACUUCAUUUCCCCAAAACUGUUGUUUGUGUCAACUUAGCAAAUCGGUGCUCUGCCUUGGUUCCUCCUCUCUGCUCUGUGGUGUGUAGUGUGUCUUCCAAGGGAAAGCCACUGCGAUGAUAGAAUCUCACUUAUUUCCCUUCUCUCAGGGUUCAAAGUCUUGCACUACUUGCUGUCCAACAUCUGAAAAGACUUGUUUCCUACACAUUAUCUAGCUUCUUGUUUAGAAUGCAAUGGCAGGUGUAGCACAAUUACACUAUCAUAGUUCAAAGCAGACAAUCCUCCCUGCUUUUUGAGCAUUUCCCUAUGUUUUUUGGCACAAGAAGAUAUCCUAUACUCAUUGUGUACGUUCCCUGCCCCAGUCCUGAGAUCAGAUACUUCUCCAGGAAGCUUUGGUUUCUUUUUUUUAGAGAAUGAUAUUUAGAAACCAAGGUCUGGGCAUUAGGUUUAUGCUCAUUGCUACAGGGCAUCAUUGCUUCCAGGCCCAUUCACCAAAUAGAAAAUACACAAACACAUUUUUUUUUCC
This is a long non-coding RNA of Acinonyx jubatus (cheetah), 5023 nucleotides long. RefSeq lists it as uncharacterized. NCBI's taxonomy places the organism in Eukaryota, Metazoa, Chordata, Mammalia, Carnivora, Felidae. The transcript is spliced from 2 exons. The record is from RefSeq and is a predicted model, not a curated record.